AGUGAACGCUGGCGGUAGGCCUAACACAUGCAAGUCGAACGGCAGCACAGUAAGAGCUUGCUCUUACGGGUGGCGAGUGGCGGACGGGUGAGGAAUACAUCGGAAUCUACUUUUUCGUGGGGGAUAACGCAGGGAAACUUACGCUAAUACCGCAUACGACCUACGGGUGAAAGCAGGGGAUCUUCGGACCUUGCGCGAUUGAAUGAGCCGAUGUCGGAUUAGCUAGUUGGCGGGGUAAAGGCCCACCAAGGCGACGAUCCGUAGCUGGUCUGAGAGGAUGAUUCGCCACACUGGAAGUGAGACACGGUCCAGACUCCUACGGGAGGCAGCAGUGGGGAAUAUUGGACAAUGGACGCAAGCCUGAUCCAGCCAUACCGCGUGGGUGAAGAAGGCCUUCGGGUUGUAAAGCCCUGUUGUUGGGAAAGAAGAGCAGCAGGUUUAUACCCCGCUGUUCUGACGGUACCCAAAGAAUAAGCACCGGCUAACUUCGUG
RNAcentral lists this ribosomal RNA (492 nucleotides) under uncultured bacterium. RNAcentral's name for it is "partial 16S ribosomal RNA". It matches the Rfam family "Bacterial small subunit ribosomal RNA", at positions 29 to 507 of the family's 1533-position model. The record is from RNAcentral.